RNAcentral lists this ribosomal RNA (357 nucleotides) under uncultured bacterium. RNAcentral's name for it is "bacterial SSU rRNA". It matches the Rfam family "Bacterial small subunit ribosomal RNA", at positions 29 to 372 of the family's 1533-position model. The record is from RNAcentral.
AACGAACGCUGGCGGCGGGGUUUAGGCAUGCAAGUCGAGCGAGAAAGGGGCAACCCGAGUAAAGCGGCGUAAGGGUGAGUAAUAGGUAGUUUACGUAUCCUGUUGUACGCGGAUAAUUCCUCGAAAGGGGUUGUAAUACGCGAUGAGACCACAUCCGAUCCGUCGGGAGAGGUCAAAGGUUCGGGAUCCUUCGGGACCGAGCGCAAUGGGAGCGGACGACCUCCGAUUAGCUAGAUGGCGGGGUAACGCCCACCAUGGCGAUGAUCGGUAGCCGGCCUGAGAGGGUGUCCGGCCACACUGGGACUGAGACACUGCCCAGACUCCUACGGGAGGCUGCAGUCGCGAAUCAUUCACAAU